RNAcentral lists this ribosomal RNA (944 nucleotides) under uncultured archaeon. RNAcentral's name for it is "bacterial SSU rRNA". It matches the Rfam family "Archaeal small subunit ribosomal RNA", at positions 1 to 922 of the family's 1478-position model. The record is from RNAcentral.
UUUCCGGUUGAUCCUGCCGGACCCUACUGCUAUCGGGGUGGGACUAAGACAUGCGAGUCGAGCGUCUCCAGCUAUGGUGAGACGCGGCAGACGGCUCAGUAACACGUGGCUAACCUACCCUCAGGACAGGGACAAACCCGGGAAACUGGGGCUAAUACCCGAUAGGCGAGGGCGCCUGGAAUGGUUCUUCACCCAAAGGGCUUUGGAAGCAUGCUUUUCAAAGUCGCCUGGGGAUGGGGCCGCGUCCGAUCAGGUUGUUGGUGAGGUAACGGCUCACCAAGCCUAUAACCGGUACGGGCCGUGAGAGCGGUAGCCCGGAGAUGGGCACUGAGACAAGGGCCCAGGCCCUACGGGGCGCAGCAGUCGCGAAAACUCCGCAAUGCACGAAAGUGUGACGGGGCUACCCCGAGUGCCGUCCGCUGAGGAUGGCUUUUCCUCGGUGUAACUAGCCGGGGGAAUAAGGAGAGGGCAAGACUGGUGUCAGCCGCCGCGGUAAUACCAGCUCUCCGAGUGGUAGGGAUGAUUAUUGGGCUUAAAGCGUCCGUAGCCGGCUUAGCAAGUCUCCUGUUAAAUUCAGCGACCUAAUCGUUGAGCCGCGGGAGAUACUACUAGGCUAGGAGGCGGGAGAGGCCGACGGUACUUCCGGGGUAGGGGUGAAAUCCUAUAAUCCCGGGCGGACCACCAGUGGCGAAGGCUGUCGGCUAGAACGCGCUCGACGGUGAGGGACGAAAGCUGGGGGAGCGAACCGGAUUAGAUACCCGGGUAGUCCCAGCCGUAAACGAUGCGGGCUAGGUGUUGGGGUGGCUACGUGCCACUUCAGUGCCGCAGGGAAGCCAUUAAGCCCGCCGCCUGGGGAGUACGGCCGCAAGGCUGAAACUUAAAGGAAUUGGCGGGGGAGCACCACAAGGCGUGAAGCUUGCGGUUCAAUUGGAGUCAACGCCGGG